UACGGAUGUGUGGACACAGUACAUAUAGCAGGGUUUAGAGACGUGGCCAGAGGGUUGUAAGGGUGGAGCAUUAUACAAGAGUUUCAUGUGGAUACGGUGGAUGCUAGGAGUGGACAACCUCCCUUUGUCUCUGAGAAAAACAUUCACCCCUGAGCAACAACGACAAAACAGAAGAGAGCGAGCGAAGAGAAAAGAGAGAGUCUGGAUGGAACUUUUUCCCCAGGCACUGGUCUUUUCAAGUUGUGGAAUCAAAUGUAAUUCGGACAGGCCGGCCCACCCCUUGUUGUGUCCAUACAGGUGUGUGUGUGUGUGAGGAUACACACCUUAACCAGAAGAUAUGGGGACGAUACAUUUCCCUGUAAUGAGCAUUUCCCAAAUUGGCAGAGCUCAUUUAAAAUAGCCCGUGUGUGGAAUGCCCAGGUGUGUCAUGGGAAAGAGCAGUGUCCCAAAUGGUGUUUUCUGUACACUCAGUGUCGACCCCGUACAUACUGGUCUUGACGAGGAGAAGAAGGGGGAAAAAAGUGGUCGAGGGAGGUUCUCUUCUGCACCGUUCAACCAAUCCAGUCAAUGUGGAGGAGGAGUUAAAGAGGGUGUGUCACCUUGACGUCUGGCAUCACGGGCUCUCUUCCCAUUUCCCUUGAAAAACCGGAAGGUCCGGUUGUCGGGGACUCGGCAGAGGCUAUGUCAUAGCUGGCACCAUUCUUUCUGAUGGCAUCUUGGAAUCUUAAAAUUGGUCACAAAAAAAAAAAAAAAAAAAAAAAACUGAGGGAGUUUUAUCAGAAAUUCUGUUGCCAAACUUUGCAUCUGCACAGAUCUUCCAGUGAAUGUGUUUUGUUUACAAUGUGUCGUUGUGAAUUGGUAAAAGUAGUCCUCGUCCAUACAGUAGAGUUGAAAUCAAUGCUUUUGGUUUAGUGUGAAUUAAGGUGAACAAUCUGAGUCCUAAGCUCAAUUCUCUUCCCAUGGAAUUGGCCGUUACUGAACCAGCCUUGCUUUACACACGCUCGUAUGUGAACACUGUCGUAUGACAGGCCAGUACACUUCCAGAAGUUGAACUCAACUUUUCCCAUGACAUCUGAGAAGGAACUGACGCGAUGUCGCGUGUCAAUCGGUUGCUGAACUUUCAACCUCAUUAGAUAAAAAUCAAACCAAUCGAUCUCCAAUCAGAUGAGAGUAACACAGCCCUGAGUCCUCAAACUAACCCUCACCCCUCUAUGGGAGUCUAAUGGACGCCUAUCAGGGAGCUGUUUCACCUGUCCUGCUCUUCCACAUCAGAGCAGAUGGAGCCAGAGGGAGUUAUCAUGGACUGGCACAGUCACGCUGUGCUACUGUAACACAGAUGGGCUACAUUCUUUGGCGAACACUGCUGAAAUGUGCAAAAAUGACUUUCAGUCUG
Long non-coding RNA from Oncorhynchus tshawytscha (Chinook salmon), 1393 nucleotides. NCBI's taxonomy places the organism in Eukaryota, Metazoa, Chordata, Actinopteri, Salmoniformes, Salmonidae. The record is from Ensembl.